CGCGGAGUGGAGAAGUGGUAUCUCAUCGGGCUCAUAACCCGAGGAUCGUUGGUUCAAUUCCAACCUCCGCAACCA
RNAcentral lists this transfer RNA (75 nucleotides) under Candidatus Peribacteria bacterium. Its description in RNAcentral is "tRNA-Met". It matches the Rfam family "tRNA". Rfam says of the family: Transfer RNA (tRNA) molecules are approximately 80 nucleotides in length. Their secondary structure includes four short double-helical elements and three loops (D, anti-codon, and T loops). Further hydrogen bonds mediate the characteristic L-shaped molecular structure. tRNAs have two regions of fundamental functional importance: the anti-codon, which is responsible for specific mRNA codon recognition, and the 3' end, to which the tRNAs corresponding amino acid is attached (by aminoacyl-tRNA synthetases). tRNAs cope with the degeneracy of the genetic code in two manners: having more than one tRNA (with a specific anti-codon) for a particular amino acid; and 'wobble' base-pairing, i.e. permitting non-standard base-pairing at the 3rd anti-codon position. The record is from RNAcentral. Lineage: Bacteria; Candidatus Peregrinibacteriota; Candidatus Peribacteria.